UACGUAGGGGGCAAGCGUUGUCCGGAAUCACUGGGCGUAAAGCGUGCGUAGGCGGUUUGGCAAGUCUGAGGUGAAAGUCCAGAGCUCAACUUUGGGAAUGCCUUGGAAACUGUCAGACUUGAGUGCUGGAGAGGCAAGGGGAAUUCCACGUGUAGCGGUGAAAUGCGUAGAUAUGUGGAGGAAUACCAGUGGCGAAGGCGCCUUGCUGGACAGAAACUGACGCUGAGGCACGAAAGCGUGGGGAG
RNAcentral lists this ribosomal RNA (245 nucleotides) under uncultured bacterium. RNAcentral describes it as "partial 16S ribosomal RNA". It matches the Rfam family "Bacterial small subunit ribosomal RNA", at positions 524 to 768 of the family's 1533-position model. The record is from RNAcentral.